RNAcentral lists this long non-coding RNA (1894 nucleotides) under Equus caballus (horse). RNAcentral's name for it is "lncRNA (ENSECAG00000046540.1)". The record is from RNAcentral. Lineage: Eukaryota; Metazoa; Chordata; Mammalia; Perissodactyla; Equidae.
UGAAUUUCGCUCAAGACAAUUAGUCCUAGAAGACAGGGAGAAGGAUUUCAACUAUGUUUAAUAGCAGAGGUUUUUUAUUUCCCUAAGGAAAUAUGAUACUCAAAACACACACACAAACUAUAAAAAGAAAAGUGUUCUGGUUGAAGCCUGAGUUGGAAGUCCAGAUGCUCACCCAUCUUGCCUCCUCUUUGCCCCUCAGAUCUGCUCCUGAGCCUCCUUCACGGACUUUACUUUCCACGAGACACAUUUGUAAAACGUUGGGCUAUACUGACCUCUUUAUGGACCUUGAGAUCAACUUUGCAGCAAAGUCAACGUUUAGAACAAAGCUGAGAACCUCAAAGAUGUAAAAGCAGAUUUUCUGAAGGAACGGAUUCAGUACUAAAAGAGGACAUCAGGCAGCCUGGGUUUGAAUCCCAGCUCAGUUUUUCAGGAACUGAGAGUCAACUCCUUGCCCAGUUCAGGCUGGUUAAGACCACCAAAUCGUCAACUGGCCCUGCACGGAGGACUGAUAGGUGACCCUUUGACACCAAGAGAAGCCGAGAACUCCACCCUCAGACCGUGGUAACGCAGUCAUUUUGUGAACACGUGUCCUAUGAAGAGCCAUGAAGUUUGACUAUCCUUGCACAGAUCAUCAAUCACCUCGCUUCUCCUUAUCUCCAAUCAUUUAUUCCCACACUUCAGACCAUCCCAUCCCUUUAUCCCAUAAAUACCCCUAAUCCCCAUUUUUCAGAGAGGCAGAUUUGUGAUUGGUUCUCCUGUCUACUCACUCAGCUGCCUUUCUCUGCUGCAAACUCGCCAUCUCUGUGACUGGCAUAUUCGUGUGGCAGGUUCGGUAACUUGCAGACCCAGAACCUUACUGCACCACCAUCAUCUGUAGGCUUCCAUGGUCAGAAAGCUGCUGCCAGCUCCAGAACCAAGCUACCCCUAAUAUAACUGAUGAGGAUCAAGGCUGACCCAGGGAGAAAAGCCCAAGGCGUCCUGCCCUGCAUACCGAUCUAUAUCAUCCUUCAGGAAGCAUAGGAUGUCCUGACCUGAUCAGAUCUGAUUCUUAUCUAAAGUUAUAGGACCACCCAAUAACCAGACCCCACCUACUCUGAUACCAUUUUAAUGACUUUUUUACAUAAUCUUUCCUUUGUCUUGUAAAGAGAUAACUCACAUACCUAUGCCUUGUAAAUUUAUCCCUACCCUCAACCCACGUUUGCAGCUCUUUACUGCCCAUGGGUCCUGUCCCCAUGCUAUUCUCUGAAUAAAGGAGCACUACUACCAGAUCUUGAGAGUCCAAGAAAGCUUUCUUUUGACUCCUCGGCUCACCUGAGCCCUCGUCAAAACCACUAGCAAUAUGGAUGACGCUUACCAUGCCAGUAAAGGAAGCUGCAGCUGUGGUAGAUAACUGCAUGUGGUCUCAGACUCUUCUGGAGCUGCAAGCGUCCCACCUCAACUGCAUAAUGCCCAGAACAAAAUAACAGGUUGGAAAAGGCCCACCUUUCAAAGCGAUUUACUAGACCACCAACACAAGACUUGCUAAAGACAAAUUUGUGACUCUUGGCCAACAGCCAUAUGGAAAGCUGGAACAGGAUAUUGGAAGAGAAUCAGACAUAGGAAAGAGUUCUUCCGUCUCACCUUUAACCUAUGAGAAGAGCUUCAAGAACACCACUGGAAUGAUUAAUAUGCUAUUCCUGGAGUUUAGAACGCACAAGACUGUCGUCUGAAACACACCAGAGAAACUGAAUUAUAUAGCUAUGGCUAUCAGCCUGGGCUAUGUUGGCAGUGAAGAUGAAUGACUAUUUCUUGCCAGGCUGGGAUCAUUUUACAUUCUUUGCAAGAGGCCUUCCUGAAAUGAUUCUGUGACCCUAACAAAAGGGGUAGACCCUUGAUGCAUAGGGUAAGAUGCCCA